UAGCGGAGGAAAAGAAACCAACAGGGAUUGCCUCAGUAACGGCGAGUGAAGCGGCAAAAGCUCAAAUUUUAAAGCUGGCACCUCCGGUGUCCGCGUUGUAAUUUUGUGAGGCAUCUCCGGGUGGGGCGCCGGCCUAAGUUCCUUGGAACAGGACGUCAUAGAGGGUGAGAAUCCCGUGCUUGGCUGGCUGUCCCCGUCCAUGUGAGGUGUCUUCGACGAGUCGAGUUGUUUGGGAAUGCAGCUCAAAAUGGGUGGUAAAUUUCAUCUAAAGCUAAAUAUUGGUGGGAGACCGAUAGCGCACAAGUAGAGUGAUCGAAAGAUGAAAAGCACUUUGAAAAUAGAGUUAAAAAGUACGUGAAAUUGUUGAAAGGGAAGCGCUUGAGACCAGACUUCGGUGGGGAGUGAUCAGCCGUCCUUCUGGGCGGUGCACUUGCCCCCCUCCGGGCCAGCAUCGGUUGGGACGGCGGGAUAAAGGUCCCGGGAAUGUGGCUCCUCUCGGGGAGUGUUAUAGCCCGGGUGAAUGCCGCCAGCCCCGACCGAGGACCGCGCCUUCGGGCUAGGAUGCUUGGCAUAAUGGUCUUCAGCGACCCGUCUUGA
Molecule: ribosomal RNA, 597 nt
Filed under: Morchella americana
Lineage: Eukaryota; Fungi; Ascomycota; Pezizomycetes; Pezizales; Morchellaceae
Description: partial 28S ribosomal RNA
Rfam family: Eukaryotic large subunit ribosomal RNA
Source: RNAcentral